GAUGAACGCUGGCGGCGUGCCUAAUACAUGCAAGUCGAGCGAACAGAUGAGGAGCUUGCUCCUCUGACGUUAGCGGCGGACGGGUGAGUAACACGUGGAUAACCUACCUAUAAGACUGGGAUAACUUCGGGAAACCGGAGCUAAUACCGGAUAAUAUAUUGAACCGCAUGGUUCAAUAGUGAAAGACGGUUUUGCUGUCACUUAUAGAUGGAUCCGCGCCGCAUUAGCGAGUUGGUAAGGUAACGGCUUACCAAGGCAACGAUGCGUAGCCGACCUGAGAGGGUGAUCGGCCACGCUGGAGCUGCGACCCGCUCCAGACUCCUACGGGAGGCAGCAGUAGGGAAUCUGCCGCAAGGGGCGAAAGCCUGACGGAGCAACGCCGCGUGAGUGAUGAAGGUCUUCGGAUCGAAAAACUCUGUUAUUAGGGAAGAACAAAUGUGUAAGUAACUAUGCACGUCUUGACGGUACCUAAUCAGAAAGCCACGGCUAACUACG
RNAcentral lists this ribosomal RNA (495 nucleotides) under uncultured bacterium. RNAcentral describes it as "partial 16S ribosomal RNA". It matches the Rfam family "Bacterial small subunit ribosomal RNA", at positions 28 to 505 of the family's 1533-position model. The record is from RNAcentral.